GUGUGUCCCGUGGCCUGCUGCUCAGAAGAGUUGAACUCAGAGUUAUAUUGAGCUCUAACAGCUCGGUAAAUGUUGAUGAGAUGUGGAGACAGCAGGUAAAAACAGAGGAAGAAGAGAAGUCGGAGGAUUUUAUGUCUGCUGAUCAGGAACAGACAGAAAACAACAUGAAUAUACAGAUAGAAGCUGUUUACAGCCUCAGCCAUCAGCUGCAGACAUCAGAAUUUGGCGUUGUCGAGGGGCAGCUUCGAGGACCAGAAGAUUGCCUGCAGCAGUCGACUGUUUUUCUCGGAGAUCCACCGGAAAAUGGAGGCUGACAAAGCUGACCUGUCUUUCUCUGCUGAUCGUCUCCGGGUUUUGUGAUCUGUCCUUACUUCGGCCGCUGUGGGUAACCUUUUGGGACUGGAGCUGAGAAAAGAACCUGUCUGUUGGCAGAAACACGGGGAGUUUGGUUUUCCUGAUGGUCCUCCGCUCUUUCCGAGUCCACUCCCAACCGCCGAGACCCGAGACCUGGACCGAUGAUGGACACAUGUGGACAAAUGGACAGCGAUGCUGAGACCAGCAGACUGUAUAAAGGCCAGCACUAAGAAGAUCAUCCACUGCCCAGCACCAUGAAGGCGAGAUAACAUUGUCAUUUCUGCCUGUUUGCCCAACACUAACCCACCCCGCAAAAUUCUUUAAACAUGCAACAGCAGCAAAAGACCUUGGGAUCGAGUGACUGUUAUCUGUCCAGCUGCGGAGAAGACUGUGAAAGUUGAUGAAACAAAGCUUCAAAGUCUGAUAUUCACUGAGCCCAGCAGCUGUUGCCACUCUACAGCACCCCGUCGUCGGAUCAAUCAGCCUAACGCUACAUUAGGUUGAUUUUGCUGUUUCUGACAAGCUGUGACAAAUGGCAACAUCAACAAUAAAGUUCUGCAAAACAUCGGCAUAAGUGACCGUCACAAGACUGAUGUGGGAAGACAAGAGAGAGGGGGUGGAGCGGGGCUCUCUGGCAGGGCUUCACGGCAUCAUCGCCUCAAUCAAUGCUAACGAGCACACCUGUGGAUGGCCAGGGUGGUCUUAUGGAUCCAAGUCCACCAGGUAUGGAGUGAUGACCUUGACCAGGCUGGGUUCUGGUGGGGAAGAGUGGGCACGGAUUGAGUCAGACGGCCAGCCAGCCACCCCCACCCCAAUGGAGAAAAGAUGAGUAAACUCACACGCACGCUGUCAUAUGUUCUGUAAAAGAAACUUUUUCUUUCUUUUAUUUUUUAUUGAAUGAAUAGUAAAAGAUAUGAAAAAAAAACAAGACCGUAGCUGCUCUGAAAGUAUGAACUUUGACAAAGUAAGAUGUUGAUCAAACUAUCUGGCAUUAUUUUUAAAGAAUGUUUUGAUAACAAGUGUAGAAGUUUUUUCUAUAAUCCUUUUUGUUUCUGUGUUUGUUUCUGGGUUUUGUCUGCUGAUCGUCUCCGGGUUUUGUGAAUCUGUCAUGCCCCGACCGCUGUGGGUAGUCUUUGGGGACUGGAGCUGAAAAGAACCUGACUGUCGACAGAAAAACUAUGAGCUAAUAUUUUCAUUAGCACCUUAUGCUAAAGAGCUGCGGCUAAUUUUUCGGCCUGCACACAUUGAAAUUAUAAUUUUUAGACGCUGGUCUGGUUUUUCUGAGGCUGAAAUGAUGCUAGCUGAAUGUAGGUGUGGGAACGAUUCAUUCCACAUCGAGUUUAAAAAGCAGGGAGCUCAGUUUUCUGUUUUUUUAUGUAGCCUUGAUGACUGUGUUGUCUAUGGUGAGCGUGGGCAGUGUAGGAAUGAGUUACUUAUGCAAAUAAGCUCACCUUACAUCUUCCCAUAACUAAGUUAUGAGAGUAAAUUUUACCAAGGUUUUCCUCAUUACUUUAAUAUUUGUCUGUGCAAAGUGAAGUGACACAAU
This is a long non-coding RNA of Austrofundulus limnaeus, 1900 nucleotides long. RefSeq lists it as uncharacterized. The transcript has 3 exons. NCBI's taxonomy places the organism in Eukaryota, Metazoa, Chordata, Actinopteri, Cyprinodontiformes, Rivulidae. The record is from RefSeq and is a predicted model, not a curated record.